GAUGAACGCUGGCGGCGUGCCUAAUACAUGCAAGUCGAGCGAACGGACGAGAAGCUUGCUUCUCUGAUGUUAGCGGCGGACGGGUGAGUAACACGUGGAUAACCUACCUAUAAGACUGGGAUAACUUCGGGAAACCGGAGCUAAUACCGGAUAAUAUUUUGAACCGCAUGGUUCAAAAGUGAAAGACGGUCUUGCUGUCACUUAUAGAUGGAUCCGCGCUGCAUUAGCUAGUUGGUAAGGUAACGGUUACCAAGGCAACGAUGCAUAGCCGACCUGAGAGGGUGAUCGGCCACACUGGAACUGAGACACGGUCCAGACUCCUACGGGAGGCAGCAGUAGGGAAUCUUCCGCAAUGGGCGAAAGCCUGACGGAGCAACGCCGCGUGAGUGAUGAAGGUCUUCGGAUCGUAAAACUCUGUUAUUAGGGAAGAACAUAUGUGUAAGUAACUGUGCACAUCUUGACGGUACCUAAUCAGAAAGCCACGGCUAACUACGUG
Molecule: ribosomal RNA, 496 nt
Filed under: uncultured bacterium
Lineage: Bacteria
Description: partial 16S ribosomal RNA
Rfam family: Bacterial small subunit ribosomal RNA
Source: RNAcentral